UUAUUGUCUGUAGACUCUGUUGUUCUCUCUGCCCUCUAAUCCCAACUGCACUGUUUCACUAAAAUGUUAUUUUUUCAUUUAUUUUUAUUAUGUCUUUGAAUGAUAUGUCUCUACUUAGAUUUAUUGAUCGAAGGUGACCUUGAGUGCCAAGAAAGGAGCCUAAAAAUAAAAUUUAUUAUUAUUAAUAUUAUAACAGUUCGACCUAAUUUAUUCACAAAAUUACUCGACACAACUUUGAUUUUCUUGUUCAUAAGUGCUCACAAGUCAAGUACAAGGAUUGAGGUUUGAAAGCUGUAGUUAUAAUUUUAGCCUUUCAAAUAUAAAAUCAGACUUGAGCUCAGAGUAAAGGGAGAACCUGCUUGUCUCUGUUUACCCUGCUCAGAUUACAAAGGUCACUGCAGCUCAGACUUUGCAGAACAGUCAUGAGACAAAAAACAAGCUAUUGUCUGUUUAAUCAAACCUUUUUGAAAUGUUCGGAGUGAAUAUAACAUGAUGCAUGGUCAAAAAUAAAUUGUGGUCUACUUCACUAAGCUUCUCAACCUCAAUCUAUGAAGUCAAUUACAAAAAUGUUUUAUUAAUCCCCCAUGAUUGCUUAAUGUCAUAUUGUUCAAUUUCGUUCAAAGACAUUUUGUAGAUGAUUGUGGCUGUGGGCAGGAAGGCUCUCCUGUAGAGGCUUGUGUUACAGCGCACCUGGAAAGGCCUCUAACUGAAGACCGGGUUGGUCCUGAAAGGUGCUUGCUAUGUUUCCCUGCCAAGUCAACAGGAGUCACUCCAGGACCCUGAUGAUUGGGGAUGUUAAUGUAACAGGUCUACAGUCAUUCUAUUGUCAUUCUUUGGUAUUGAACCAAGGCAGGAUGAUGUCUUCCACGGUUCUAGACAUGUUGGCUGAAGGGCUCCGAUUGGUCAGGCUUCCAAAAAGUCCAUAUAAACUUACGGCUCUGCCAAUAUUGGAGGGACCCUCGUCCCCAGAAGAAGACCCACAGAGUCCAUGUCCACAUCUGGCUCCCAGGAAGACCCAUGACUGACUGUGACGAUUCUCUCAAUCACUACCUAUUAAAUAGCUGCAGAUAACAGAGACUCCACCCAGCUUCACUCUUACAGCACAAAACUCCUACACAACAAACACACUUGCUUUGAUCAUCAGUCAAGCUACAAUAACGGAAUUUCAACAUAAUUUCUGCACACAUCAAAACCACUCAACACAACUUAGUAGGAGUCAAAUCAGGGAUUCAAAGUUAUAAAAAAAUGUAGUUAAUUGUAGCCUUUCAAAUAGAAAAUAAGGGAGGAUCAGUCAUCAUCUGCUCAAUCAAUCAAGUUUAUUUGUGUUGCACAUUUUAGCAACACUGCAGUUCAAAGUGCUUUACAAAACAAAAAACAUUAUGAACACAUUACAUAGUCAACAUUUAUUGAACAGUGUUUACUGUGCUCAGAGAUUACAAAGGUCACUUCAGAUCAGACUGUGUGCAGAACUAUCAUGAGACAAAAAACAAGAUACUGACUAUUUGAUCAAACCUUUUUGAAAUGUUCUCUUUUUUAACCAAUUUUAAUCAAUUAGACGGUUCUGUGAAUCUGUGAAUCUGACAUGUUUGAUAACAUAUUGUGAUCUACUUUCACUAACCUCUUCAGCUGCACUGUAUCAAGUCAAUUCUAAUCAAAAAUACUUCAUUAAUCCCACAGGACUAUUAAAUGCUGCUGUAACUCAUCUUUUAAAUAGAAUAUCAAUGAUUCUUGAGAUUAUAGGGACAAAAUAGGCUAAAAUUUUGCAAAACAAUUUUUAAAUAAAAUAAAGAAGGAAUUAUUCCUCAAGCCUAUGUAUUCAAAUAUGAUAAACAAUAGAAAUGUAAAGAUGAUAAGGUGCAGGCUCCCAGUUGCAACAUUUCUUUUUGAAAAUUACAUUUUUAAUAGACGUAAAAUAUAGGUCCAUUAAAAUAUAAUAUAAAAUUAUUUUUAAUGACCCUAAUAGUGACAUUUUUACUCGGUAUUACAGACAAAUGCUUCUCAAGAAACAAAAUAAAUUUUAUUUAACAAACAAAAAACAACAUAAAGUCCAUCUGACGGAGACAGAGUUGACGAAGAACUGAAGGUGGUGACAAACUAGUGAGUAAAAAGAAAAACUUGAUACAUGUGAAGUAAUGCCAUUCAUGUAAAAUACAUUAAAAUGAAUUAACUGCACACUUAAGUGAGAUUUGUCAACAAAUAGAAACAGAACAAAUAGACUUUUCUCUUUUGUCUAGUAUAUGUCUUGAUUGAUUGUCAAAGUGCUAAACAGAGUUGCACUAAUAACUUCAUUCUAUUGUUAUAAUACUAUUCAAUGACAAAUUUAAUCUAAUAUAGAAACCUUCAGGGAUUGAGUUUUGAUGGAUAAUCGUUAGCAUCCAAACAUUUUGUCACUAGUUUCAACUUGAAGUGGAAUAAAGCCCUGGACUCCAGAGCAGCAAAGUCAUGUUAUCUGACUGUACAAUACAAUGAUGAUUCCAGGUUUGCCAGCUGCCUGGAGAACAGGACCUGUUUGACUGCAUUGUGUCAAGUGUAAAGGUUGAUAGUGUGGGCUGGUUUUCCCUGAUAUGCUGAAGUGCAGAGUCCUGGUAAAGCAGUGUUUCUCAAUUUGGGUCAUCAGGGUCCUCUGCCCUGCAUGUUUUAGGUGUUUCCCUUCAGCCACACACCUGGAUAAAAUCUGUGGGUGAUUAACAGGCUUCUGCAGUACUUGAUGACUGCAGAAGAGAUCAUGCAAUCAUUUGGAUCAGCUGUUCUGAAAUAGAGACACAUCUAAAACAUGCAGAGCAGGGGGGUUGAGGACUGGAAUUGAGAAGCACUGUGGUAAAGGAACUCAGCACUUCUGGUUAUCAAGAUGUUUUGGAUAGUAAGCGGAGAACAUCGCCAAUACAAGAGGUUUCAUGUCGCCCCUAAAAAGAUAACGCCCUGGGUGGUUGCGCCUAUGGCCAAUGUCAGAUACCACCACUGUCUGCGCCAUGAAACAGCAAUCAUGACACUGACGGGCCUGGUGAAUCUGAGCAGGAAGCGAACAACACCGACCUGAACUGAGGCACAUCCAGUCCCCUUCACCUCCAGGCUGUACUUUCCUGCCUCACCCUGCAGAAUCUUCUCCUGGUAGAGCAGCUUGUUGUCUGGGGUC
Molecule: long non-coding RNA, 3133 nt
Organism: Xiphophorus couchianus (Monterrey platyfish)
Lineage: Eukaryota; Metazoa; Chordata; Actinopteri; Cyprinodontiformes; Poeciliidae
Exons: 3
Source: RefSeq, a predicted model, not a curated record